UAGGGAAUCUUCCGCAAUGGACGCAAGUCUGACGGAGCAACGCCGCGUGAGUGAAGAAGGAUUUCGGUUCGUAAAACUCUGUUGUUAGAGAAGAACAGCGCAUAGAGUAACUGUUAUGCGUGUGACGGUAUCUAACCAGAAAGCCACGGCUAACUACGUGCCAGCAGCCGCGGUAAUACGUAGGUGGCAAGCGUUGUCCGGAUUUAUUGGGCGUAAAGCGAGCGCAGGCGGUCAAUUAAGUCUGAUGUGAAAGCCCCCGGCUCAACCGGGGAGGGUCAUUGGAAACUGGUUGACUUGAGUGCAGAAGAGGAGAGUGGAAUUCCAUGUGUAGCGGUGAAAUGCGUAGAUAUAUGGAGGAACACCAGUGGCGAAGGCGACUCUCUGGUCUGUAACUGACGCUGAGGCUCGAAAGCGUGGGUAGCAGACAGG
RNAcentral lists this ribosomal RNA (429 nucleotides) under Bacteroidota bacterium. RNAcentral describes it as "Bacteroidetes bacterium partial 16S ribosomal RNA". It matches the Rfam family "Bacterial small subunit ribosomal RNA", at positions 355 to 776 of the family's 1533-position model. Lineage: Bacteria; Pseudomonadati; Bacteroidota. The record is from RNAcentral.